GACGAACGCUGGCUGCGUGCUUAACACAUGCAAGUCGAACGGAAAGGCCCUGCUUUUGUGGGGUGCUCGAGUGGCGAACGGGUGAGUAACACGUGAGUAACCUGCCCUUGACUUUGGGAUAACUUCAGGAAACUGGGGCUAAUACCGGAUAGGAGCUCCUGCUGCAUGGUGGGGGUUGGAAAGUUUCGGCGGUUGGGGAUGGACUCGCGGCUUAUCAGCUUGUUGGUGGGGUAGUGGCUUACCAAGGCUUUGACGGGUAGCCGGCCUGAGAGGGUGACCGGCCACAUUGGGACUGACAUACGGCCCAUACUCCUACGGGAGGCAGCAGUGGGGAAUAUUGCACAAUGGGCGGAAGCCUGAUGCAGCAACGCCGCGUGCGGGAUGACUUCCUUUGGGUUGUAAACCGCUUUCCCCUGUGACAAAUCGCGAGUGACGGUAAUGGGCAAAGAAACACCUGCUAACUACCUGUCAUCAUUCUCGGUGAUACCUUGGGCGCGAGCGUUGUCCUGAUUUACUUGGCGUAAAAGGGCUCGCACGUGGAUGAUCUCACUCCGAAGAGUAAUCUUGGGGCUUAUUCUGAGCGUGCUUUCGAUACGGGUUGACUUGAGGAAGGUAGGGGAGAAUGGAAUUCCUGGUGGAGCGGUGGAAUGCGCAGAUAUCAGGAGGAACACCAGUGGCGAAGGCGGUUCUCUGGGCCUUUCCUGACGCUGAGGAGCGAAAGCGUGGGGAGCGAACAGGCUUAGAUACCCUGGUAGUCCACGCUGUAAACGGUGGGUACUAGGUGUGGGGUCCAUUCCACGGGUUCCGCGCCGUAGCUAACGCUUUAAGUACCCCGCCUGGGGAGUACGGCCGCAAGGCUAAAACUCAAAGGAAUUGACGGGGCCCCGCACAAGCGGCGGAGCAUGCGGAUUAAUUCGAUGCAACGCGUAGAACCUUACCUGGGUUUGACAUGGAUCGGGAGUGCUCAGAGAUGGGUGUGCCUCUUUUGGGGUCGGUUCACAGGUGGUGCAUGGCUGUCGUCAGCUCGUGUCGUGAGAUGUUGGGUUAAGUCCCGCAACGAGCGCAACCCUUGUUCACUGUUGCCAGCACGUUAUGGUGGGGACUCAGUGGAGACCGCCGGGGUCAACUCGGAGGAAGGUGGGGAUGACGUCAAGUCAUCAUGCCCCUUAUGUCCAGGGCUUCACGCAUGCUACAAUGGCUGGUACAGAGAGUGGCGAGCCUGUGAGGGUGAGCGAAUCUCGGAAAGCCGGUCUCAGUUCGGAUUGGGGUCUGCAACUCGACCUCAUGAAGUCGGAGUCGCUAGUAAUCGCAGAUCAGCAACGCUGCGGUGAAUACGUUCCCGGG
This 1344-nucleotide ribosomal RNA is filed under the name uncultured bacterium. RNAcentral's name for it is "16S ribosomal RNA". It matches the Rfam family "Bacterial small subunit ribosomal RNA", at positions 28 to 1378 of the family's 1533-position model. The record is from RNAcentral.